CGGAGCUUGCUCUGUGGGAUCAGUGGCGAACGGGUGAGUAACACGUGAGCAACCUGCCCCUGACUCUGGGAUAAGCGCUGGAAACGGCGUCUAAUACUGGAUAUGUGACGUGACCGCAUGGUCUGCGUCUGGAAAGAAUUUCGGUUGGGGAUGGGCUCGCGGCCUAUCAGCUUGUUGGUGAGGUAAUGGCUCACCAAGGCGUCGACGGGUAGCCGGCCUGAGAGGGUGACCGGCCACACUGGGACUGAGACACGGCCCAGACUCCUACGGGAGGCAGCAGUGGGGAAUAUUGCACAAUGGGCGCAAGCCUGAUGCAGCAACGCCGCGUGAGGGACGACGGCCUUCGGGUUGUAAACCUCUUUUAGCAGGGAAGAAGCGAAAGUGACGGUACCUGCAGAAAAAGCGCCGGCUAACUACGUGCCAGCAGCCGCGGUAAUACGUAGGGCGCAAGCGUUAUCCGGAAUUAUUGGGCGUAAAGAGCUCGUAGGCGGUUUGUCGCGUCUGCUGUG
RNAcentral lists this ribosomal RNA (509 nucleotides) under Microbacterium sp. RI1. RNAcentral's name for it is "bacterial SSU rRNA". It matches the Rfam family "Bacterial small subunit ribosomal RNA", at positions 74 to 596 of the family's 1533-position model. Lineage: Bacteria; Bacillati; Actinomycetota; Actinomycetes; Micrococcales; Microbacteriaceae. The record is from RNAcentral.